This is a long non-coding RNA of Cyprinodon tularosa, 708 nucleotides long. RefSeq lists it as uncharacterized. The record is from RefSeq and is a predicted model, not a curated record. The transcript is spliced from 3 exons. Lineage: Eukaryota; Metazoa; Chordata; Actinopteri; Cyprinodontiformes; Cyprinodontidae.
UCAUCACAAUGGCAUCCCUCCCCUCCCUCAACCCUGUGGUUUUAAACUUGCAUGUUUCCCCCCUUCUUCUUCGCCUGUAUUUGGGCCUAGGAAUUUCUCUGAAUUUUUAUAAGCUUGUAAUGCAAUAUUAAUCAAGGUUUCCCGCUAUAAAAUGCAAUACUUUCACUCGGCUUUCAGGGCUUUCAGAGGAAGUAUGCAUGCGGAGGACGUCGUUGUUUAACAGCAGAGAAAGCUUUUCGUUUUUUGCUUUCAGUAGCUUUUGGCCACAUGGACAGAAGAGAAAGCGGUUCCUUAAAUAAAAGGCCCAAGUUUGCUGUCUUCCAGCGCCCCAGGGCAUGGAGCUAGCCAGCGGUGAGAUUCCAUCAAUUAGUGCACCCCCGCGGCCUCUUGGCAGAGCCCACCUUUGACUGCAGUGAGAUAUUGAUUAGUUCAGCUGCACUGUCAGGUCUGAAGUGUGCAAGGCCCAGUGAUCCAAGGCCUUCACCAGAGACAAGAUCAUGUCAAGUUUCUGACACAUAUCAUCUACAAAGAUCUGUGAAUAUCAGGAGCCGGGAGGGGAUCAGUGGGACUGGACAAGAUCAUUUGCAGAAGAAAUAUAAAGUCCCAAUCUGCUAUGUAGUUCUGGAAAGAAGGCUGGAAGUAUGGUUAGACUUUUAUGUCAACCUUAUAUGCCCCCCCCAUUUGCAAAAAAAAAUAAAAUAAUUUUUU